Molecule: ribosomal RNA, 254 nt
Filed under: uncultured bacterium
Lineage: Bacteria
Description: partial 16S ribosomal RNA
Rfam family: Bacterial small subunit ribosomal RNA
Source: RNAcentral
UACGUAGGGGGCAAGCGUUGUCCGGAAUUAUUGGGCGUAAAGAGCUCGUAGGUGGUUUGUCGCGUUGUUCGUGAAAACUCACAGCUUAACUGUGGGCGUGCGGGCGAUACGGGCAGACUUGAGUACUGCAGGGGAGACUGGAAUUCCUGGUGUAGCGGUGGAAUGCGCAGAUAUCAGGAGGAACACCGGUGGCGAAGGCGGGUCACUGGACCGGCAUUGACGCUGAGGUGCGAAAGCGUGGGGGAGCAAACAGG